UCUGCCCUUGGGCCAGGAUGGAGGUGGCGGAGAGGGGAGUCAAAUGGGCUGGGGGCAGGGAGAUGGGGGAGGCCUUCUCUACUGCAGAGAAGGCAACCGGGGCCUCCUCUGUCUGAACCUUGCUGCCCACAGGAGCCUGGACAGUGGCCUCAAAUGCCACUCGGGGGCAGUGGGGCCUGCUCAUAGCUUGGGGUGCCAGAGAGGGGGUGCAGUCAGUGCUCCCCUUUAGAGGGUCCAUCCUGAACAGGGCUGGAGGGGGAGAGGUCUGGGGACAGAGGCCUGGCCGUGGAGACCUGGGAGCAGCAGGAAGAAGGGGUGUGGCCACGGGGAGAUCGUGACUGCACAGAGAUGCACAGGAGGAUCCGGAGUCCGGGCCGUGGAGUACCAGAACUCCCACGUGGACAGCUGAGAGCAGCACCAAGGACUGAGGCUAUGUGGGGUCUGGGGGGACAGUGAGGGGCACCCCUGAAGUCUGCUGGGGAAGGGGACACAGGUUCAAGCCCUGGUCCGGGAAGAUCCCACAUGCUGCGGAGCAACUAAGCCCGUGUGCCACAACUACCGAGCCUGCGCUCUAGAGCCCGCAAGUCACAACUACAGAAGCCUGCCUGCCUAGAGCCUGUGCUCCGCAACAAGAGAAGCCACCACAAUUAGAAGCUGCACACCAACACAAAGAGUAGCCCCCGCUCGCCACAACUAGAGAAAGCCUGCCCGCAGCAAUGAAGACCCAACGCAGCCAAAAAUAAAUAAAUUAAAUAAAUAAAUUUUUAAAAAUAAAUUGUAGCUGAAAAAAGAAAA
Lagenorhynchus albirostris (white-beaked dolphin) is the source of this 795-nucleotide long non-coding RNA. RefSeq lists it as uncharacterized. The record is from RefSeq and is a predicted model, not a curated record. The transcript has 2 exons. NCBI's taxonomy places the organism in Eukaryota, Metazoa, Chordata, Mammalia, Artiodactyla, Delphinidae.